UAUUUUCAUCACUUCGAAAAGAAACUCCGUGCCGUACCCAUUAACAGUCACUCCUCAUUCCCCAGUUCCCCAGCCCUGGCCCCUGACAAUCACUGAUCUCUUUCUGUCUCUAAUGAUUUCUAUAUUCUGGUCCAGUGGGCCCAGGAGCACAAACGUUGAAGCUCAACCAGUUACUUGGCUUCCCAGUGAGGGGACAGGCCCACUACCUUCCUGAACAAAAUUCUGAACUGGAGGGUCUCCAUUUGGUCCAGGUGCUGGGUGGUGAAUUUCAAGAGCAUCAGAGAGACAUCUGAAGGUGACUCAGCCCCUGUGUCCCUGCCUCCCUCCCCUGCCCACCCCAGCCCAUGCAGGCUCUGGAAGUGCACCUUGCUCACUCUGCUCCCCUGCCUGUGGAAGGCAUGAGCAAUGAUGCACCCAGCGAAGGAGUGGGGAGUGGACCUCUAAGGUCAAUGUGGCAAACCCAUCACAGAAAUGCAGGGGAGUUAAGGAUGGUUUAGGAAUGCAUCCAGCAAGGUCGGGGCUGGAAGAGAGUUUGGAGGGCAAAGGAGAG
RNAcentral lists this long non-coding RNA (550 nucleotides) under Homo sapiens (human). RNAcentral describes it as "non-protein coding lnc-CYB5B-2:1". The record is from RNAcentral. Lineage: Eukaryota; Metazoa; Chordata; Mammalia; Primates; Hominidae.